AUACGGAGGGUCCAAGCGUUAUCCGGAAUCAUUGGGUUUAAAGGGUCCGCAGGCGGUCAAUUAAGUCAGAGGUGAAAGCCCAUCGCUCAACGAUGGAACUGCCUUUGAUACUGGUUGACUUGAGUUAUACGGAAGUAGAUAGAAUAAGUAGUGUAGCGGUGAAAUGCAUAGAUAUUACUUAGAAUACCGAUUGCGAAGGCAGUCUACUACGUAUAUACUGACGCUGAGGGACGAAAGCGUGGGUAGCAAACGGGAUUAGAUACCCUAGUAGUCC
Molecule: ribosomal RNA, 274 nt
Filed under: uncultured bacterium
Lineage: Bacteria
Description: partial 16S ribosomal RNA
Rfam family: Bacterial small subunit ribosomal RNA
Source: RNAcentral